CAAUGACUUAGGUUAGUUGAAAUGUGGUGAAUAACAAAGAAGAGUCAGGUAAAUCACAAAAGGUCAUCUUCCUGCUAUGAGACGUUAACGGACACCACACACCGAGUUGACACGUUCCAGAGCAGUAAACGUGAGUGAUGCAGAACAGAGGAGAGAAGUUCGUUUGACGUCUACCGGACUUACUCGUCAGAUUGCACUUUCACAAACUUCCCAGCCACCCCCACGGCCUCGCCUGACAGACAGCUGGGCACGGUCCGCCACUCCGCCCUCUGCCGCUCAGUCUCUCCAGCCCUUGCCCGAGGAAGUCCCCUGAGCUCCGCAAGUUGCUUCUAGUUUCUAAAGGAUAAUUUUCAGUCCUCAAGAGACGAAGAUCAGAGCGUCUUACAAGUACAGAAAUGCGCGUAGAACCUAUCGAGAAAUUUCUUGCAAUAAAAUGUCUCAGGAACCUGCCUAAGAUUUCCCUGCCUGGUGCUUGUAAAGCAACUGGGGCUCUGGGAGUAGCAUUUGCCUGGCUAUGAGUUACAGCGUUUAGAUGUUGUUGAUUCAAAGAAUGGGAAAGUGUACAAAGAAGAAUGGCAACUCAAUCAAGAAAAUAUCCUGAAGGAAAGGAUGGGUUUAAGGUUACUUUUACCUAAUCUAGAAACAUAAGGACCCAAAAACCGGUGGGUUUCCGUAGUGUAGUGGUUAUCACGUUCGCCUAACACGCGAAAGGUCCCCGGUUCGAAACCGGGCGGAAACAAGCAGUACCUUUUCCCGAGAAGUCUGAAUUUUGGUCCAGAAAUGUCCACUCUGAAUUUCUAUACCUUUGCACCAACUCUCAAGUCCUCGCGCUUCCUUUGCCGCCCUGGACUUUCAAUUGCAAGAAUUAUGUAACAAGACCAGAGCUGAGACUUGCUUCCUCGCCCCCCUUAACAAGUAAUCAUGUCCUAUCCAUUCCAUUGGUCAGAGAAGAUACUGCGCUUGGCUGCGGUGGCUAACCAUCCUAGGAGGAGCGCUUCCUAUCUCUUAUGGACAGGAACAGAGAAUGAAUCUCCCUGACACAAAAGUGUGGUUGAUGAAUGCAAAGAGGAUCAGGAGCCAACUGUAACUGCAGGAGAAAGAGCUGAGUGGAGAGUGGUUCCUGGAGUCAGAGAGGAAACACACUGGAAGGGAGAGAUCAAGUGGAGCCUGGUUAUUUCUUUCAGGACUUUGGCCUUUAUUCUGAUAAAAUGAGGAGAUCUUGGAUUUUAAGCAGGGAAGUAGCUUUACAUGACUUGAGUGUUUCUGCCAGCUCUAUGGAGAAUAUUUUUCAGAGAGAAAACAAUGGAAGCAAGGAGAUCUAUUAAGUCCCUCUCGUCGUGCUGCAUAUCAGAAAUCACUGUGGUCUGGACAGGAUGGUGGCGGUCCAGUUGAUGAGAAGUAGUCACAGUGUAGAUAUAUUUUAAAGACAGAGUCAAGAGACAUUCCUGAGAAAAUGGGUAUGAGGAGUGACAGAAAGUAGAAUCAAUGAUGACUUUGAUGUAUUUUGCUGAAAACCUGGAAGGAUGGAGUUGCUAUUAACUGAAAUGGGGAAGCUUGGAUGCAGCACUAAUAUUAGGGGACAUUGGGAGUUCUGUUUUAGACAUGCUUUUAGAUGCCUAGUAUAAAACCCUCAAGUGUAAUGCUAAGGAAUGAGUUGAAUCUACAAGCCUGUAGUUUAAUGGAAUGGUCUAGAUUACAGAUACAAAUUAGUGAGUUGUAGUCACAUAGGCAUUAUUUAAGCUACAAGAACUAAUAAAAUCACCAGGUAGAGACUGUAUAUAAAGAAGAAGUCUGAGGACCAAGCCUUGAGACAUUCCAUUAUAAAAAAAGGUUGCAUGAGAAGAGGGGAAACAAAGGAUAUUGAGAAGGAGAAGCCAGCGAGGUAGAAAGACAAUCAGGACAGCAGUGUCUUGAAAGUCAAAUGAAGAAAAGGUUUUAAGAAUAAUAAUGUGCCUAUGGCCCUGAGAAAUCAAGGACUUGGAAAUGGUCAUUAAUUUUAGACAUUUAGAGGUCAUUGGUGAUCUAGACCAGAAGCUUCCAUGAAGUGAUGGCGCCAAACAACCUCAGUGUACUGGGUUUGAAGAAGAAUGGGAAAAGAGAAACUGCAGAUAGCAAAUCUGUGUAGUUCUUUAGAGAUCUUGUGUGACGUCAUCUGAGAAAUAGGGCAGCAAGAUGAAAAUGUUGGGGCAGAGAAACAUUUUUAAGAUAGCAGUCAAAUAGUAUAUUUGAAUGAUCAUCAGAAUAAUACAAUAGUCAGGAGAAGAUUGUUUUAGUCAAUGCACAUAAAAUUCUCUUUAAGUCAUUAGUAUUCCACUGAUAGGAAUGCAAGAAAAUUCCUUUCCCUGAGGAGACUAAAGAAUUUUCCAAGGUUUAUGGUAGCAAAUGUCACAAAUAGAUUUUAAUUCCAUGUUUCUCUUUGCUGUUAUGUUUCCCUUUCAGGACAAAGUUACAUGAAGACUGGUUCCAAAACUAUGCUAAAGUUUAAAAUGGUGGAAGAAAUCAUUAGGUGUCCACUACGGAGUUCAAGAUAUGGAAAGAAGAGAAUGGAGAUGGAGAAGUAAACACCACGUGCGUCCUUCUGUGAAAUUUUGGAAAAGGGAAAUAUGCCUUUCCUGCUGUGUUGACCCAACAUCUCUGGAGGGUCAGAUCUAAGGUGAUGUUUGCUCCUCUCUCCCACCAUCGCUUCAAGCAUGUGUCCUUUUUGCUUUAGACAAAGAACUCAAUCACUCAUUCAUUCAAUAAAUAUUUACUGAAUCUAUACUAUGUACCAUAUACUGCAUUAGUCACUGGGAUAACAGCUGUAACAAAAUAGACAGAAAUCUCUUUCCUUUCCAGUGACAGGGUAACAGAGAUAUUUUAAAAGCAAAGUUGCAUAUAAAAUGCUAGAUGCUGUGAAAAUAAAUGCUAAGGAGAGCAAUUAAUCAGAGAAAGACAUUAGGAGUGAGUUUCUAUUUUCAAUUUCUAAGUGGAAUAUUGCUGAAUUUGAGCAAAAAUCUGAAGGACGAAAAUGAAUGAACCAUGAGAAUAUCCAGGUAAAAUCAUUCCAGACAUAGGAUAUAGUGCCCACAAAGACUUUACCUUGUGUAUUUGAGGAAUAGAAAUGAGGUUAAUUCUGCUAGAGUAAAUUGAAUGAUAUUUUAAUGUACACAUCAGUUAUCUAUUGCCACAACUAUACUGCUUAAUAAACGA
Equus caballus (horse) is the source of this 3189-nucleotide long non-coding RNA. NCBI's taxonomy places the organism in Eukaryota, Metazoa, Chordata, Mammalia, Perissodactyla, Equidae. The record is from Ensembl.